RNAcentral lists this ribosomal RNA (253 nucleotides) under uncultured bacterium. RNAcentral describes it as "partial 16S ribosomal RNA". It matches the Rfam family "Bacterial small subunit ribosomal RNA", at positions 524 to 776 of the family's 1533-position model. The record is from RNAcentral.
UACGUAGGGUGCGAGCGUUGUCCGGAAUUACUGGGCGUAAAGAGCUCGUAGGUGGUUUGUCGCGUUGUUCGUGAAAACUCACAGCUUAACUGUGGGCGUGCGGGCGAUACGGGCAGACUGGAGUUCGGCAGGGGAGACUGGAAUUCCUGGUGUAGCGGUGAAAUGCGCAGAUAUUGGGAAGAACACCUGAGGCGAAGGCGGGUUGCUGGGCCGACACUGACGCUGAGGCGCGAAAGCCAGGGGAGCAAACGGG